This 338-nucleotide ribosomal RNA is filed under the name uncultured Pseudomonadota bacterium. RNAcentral describes it as "bacterial SSU rRNA". It matches the Rfam family "Bacterial small subunit ribosomal RNA", at positions 29 to 351 of the family's 1533-position model. Lineage: Bacteria; Pseudomonadati; Pseudomonadota. The record is from RNAcentral.
AACGAACGCUGGCGGCGUGCCUAACACAUGCAAGUCGAACGGAAUUGAGGGGCUUGCUCUUCAAUUUAGUGGCGCACGGGUGAGUAACGCGUAGAUAAUCUGCCUGAUGAUCUGGGAUAACAUUUCGAAAGGGGUGCUAAUACCGGAUAAGCCCACGACGGCCUUGGUCGUUGCGGGAAAAGGGGGGACCUUUCGGGCCUUCUGUCAUCAGAUGAGUCUGCGUACCAUUAGCUAGUUGGUAGGGUAAUGGCCUACCAAGGCUACGAUGGUUAGCUGGUCUGAGAGGAUGAUCAGCCACACUGGAACUGAGACACGGUCCAGACUCCUACGGGAGGCAG